RNAcentral lists this ribosomal RNA (519 nucleotides) under uncultured eukaryote. RNAcentral describes it as "SSU rRNA". It matches the Rfam family "Eukaryotic small subunit ribosomal RNA", at positions 1161 to 1703 of the family's 1831-position model. The record is from RNAcentral.
AGGGCACCACCAGGAGUGGAGCCUGCGGCUUAAUUUGACUCAACACGGGAAAACUCACCCGGCCCGGACACCGUAAGGAUUGACAGACUGAGAGCUCUUUCUUAAUUCGGUGGGUGGUGGUGCAUGGCCGUUCUUAGUUGGUGGAGCGAUUUGUCUGGUUAAUUCCGAUAACGAACGAGACUCUGGCCUAUUAAAUAGACGAUAUAUCUAUCUAGUAUAUCGCGCUUCUUAGAGGGACAAGCGGCGUCCAGCCGCAUGAAAUAGAGCAAUAACAGGUCUGUGAUGCCCUUAGAUGUCCGGGGCUGCACGCGCGCUACACUGAAAGAAUCAGCGUGCGUUUUACCUAGUUCGGAAGAACCGGGUAACCCAAGUAGAUUCUUUCGUGCUUGGGAUAGGGAAUUGCAAUUAUUUCCCUUGAACGAGGAAUUCCCAGUAAAUGCGGGUCAUAAGCUCGCGUUGAUUACGUCCCUGCCCUUUGUACACACCGCCCGUCGCUACCACCGAUUGGAUGACUUAGUG